This 302-nucleotide ribosomal RNA is filed under the name Vibrio splendidus. RNAcentral describes it as "partial 16S ribosomal RNA". It matches the Rfam family "Bacterial small subunit ribosomal RNA", at positions 1 to 289 of the family's 1533-position model. The record is from RNAcentral. Lineage: Bacteria; Pseudomonadati; Pseudomonadota; Gammaproteobacteria; Vibrionales; Vibrionaceae.
AAAUUGAAGAGUUUGAUCAUGGCUCAGAUUGAACGCUGGCGGCAGGCCUAACACAUGCAAGUCGAGCGGAAACGACAACAUUGAAUCUUCGGAGGAUUUGUUGGGCGUCGAGCGGCGGACGGGUGAGUAAUGCCUAGGAAAUUGCCUUGAUGUGGGGGAUAACCAUUGGAAACGAUGGCUAAUACCGCAUAAUGCCUACGGGCCAAAGAGGGGGAUCUUCGGACCUCUCGCGUCAAGAUAUGCCUAGGUGGGAUUAGCUAGUUGGUGAGGUAAUGGCUCACCAAGGCGACGAUCCCUAGCUG